Molecule: ribosomal RNA, 492 nt
Filed under: uncultured bacterium
Lineage: Bacteria
Description: partial 16S ribosomal RNA
Rfam family: Bacterial small subunit ribosomal RNA
Source: RNAcentral
AGUGAACGCUGGCGGUAGGCCUAACACAUGCAAGUCGAACGGCAGCACAGUAAGAGCUUGCUCUUACGGGUGGCGAGUGGCGGACGGGUGAGGAAUACAUCGGAAUCUACUUUUUCGUGGGGGAUAACGUAGGAAAACUUACGCUAAUACCGCAUACGACCUACGGGUGAAAGCAGGGGAUCUUCGGACCUUGCGCGAUUGAAUGAGCCGAUGUCGGAUUAGCUAGUUGGCGGGGUAAAGGCCCACCAAGGCGACGAUCCGUAGCUGGUCUGAGAGGAUGAUCAGCCACACUGGAACUGAGACACGGUCCAGACUCCUACGGGAGGCAGCAGUGGGGAAUAUUGGACAAUGGGCGCAAGCCUGAUCCAGCCAUACCGCGUGGGUGAAGAAGGCCUUCGGGUUGUAAAGCCCUUUUGUUGGGAAAGAAAAGCAGCAGGUUAAUACCCCGCUGUUCUGACGGUACCCAAAGAAUAAGCACCGGCCAACUUCGUG